Molecule: ribosomal RNA, 253 nt
Filed under: uncultured bacterium
Lineage: Bacteria
Description: partial 16S ribosomal RNA
Rfam family: Bacterial small subunit ribosomal RNA
Source: RNAcentral
UACGUAGGUGGCAAGCGUUGUCCGGAAUUACUGGGCGUAAAGGGCGCGUAGGCGGUUCGUUAAGUCCUGUGUGAAAUCCCCCGGCUCAACUGGGGAACUGCACAGGAAACUAGCGGGCUUGAGUUCGGGAGAGGGAAGCGGAAUUCCGGGUGUAGCGGUGAAAUGCGUAGAUAUCCGGAGGAACACCGGUGGCGAAGGCGGCUUCCUGGACCGACACUGACGCUGAGGCGCGAAAGCUAGGGGAGCAAACGGG